UGGUUCUGGCAUCGAUGAAGAACGCAGCGAAAUGCGAUAAGUAGUGUGAAUUGCAGAAUUCAGUGAAUCAUCGAAUCUUUGAACGCACAUUGCGCCCGUCGGUAUUCCGGCGGGCAUGCCUGUUCGAGCGUCAUUUCAUACCUUCAGGGCUAGUUCCUGGUGUUGGACCCACGCCCUCAGGGGCGGGUCCCAAAGAUGACCGGCGACCACGCACGCUCCGCCCUCUUGGAGGCGCUGCUGGAACCAUCCGCGUCCCUCAGGGGUCGGAUCGUCCGUGGGCGUACGGGGGACCACCACAGUCUCACUCGAGACUCUCAUCUUGACCUCGGAUCAGGUAGGGUUACCCGCUGA
This 351-nucleotide unclassified non-coding RNA is filed under the name uncultured fungus. RNAcentral describes it as "partial contains 5.8S ribosomal RNA and internal transcribed spacer 2". The stretch from base 1 to 133 matches the Rfam family "5.8S ribosomal RNA", at positions 22 to 154 of the family's 154-position model. The record is from RNAcentral. Lineage: Eukaryota; Fungi.